RNAcentral lists this long non-coding RNA (667 nucleotides) under Nicotiana benthamiana. Its description in RNAcentral is "long non-coding RNA (NBEN_LNC009395)". The record is from RNAcentral. Lineage: Eukaryota; Viridiplantae; Streptophyta; Magnoliopsida; Solanales; Solanaceae.
ACACAUUCAGGGCAUAUAGCGAGACAAGCGAGACAGUGAAUAUAAUGAAAUAUAUAGAAUACAACGGGAUACAUGACAUACAAUAAAAAAAGGACAGUGAUACAAUGAAAUACAUGGAAUACAACAAAAUACAUUAAAUUACAAUGAAAAAAAGACAAUGAAUACAAUGAAAUACGUAAAAAUACAACGUGAUACGUUGAAAAUACAUUAUCUUUGUUCAAGAACCCACUACUUAGUUCAAGAACAAACCACAGUUUCCGACAAAUCCUCCGUCGAGCAAAAAUCUUGAAUCUCACUAUUCUCACGCAUCCUGUGCAUUGCUUUUGACACAUCAGUGCCAUCGUAGCUUUUGAAAAAUUUCCAUAAUUUCACCUUCUUUUGUUCAAGAGUAGGGACAAUCGAAAACAGAAUAAAAGGAAAGUGAACAGGUUUUCAGGCAUGGAACUUGCGAUUAGAUCAUGAUGCAGAUCUUCAUUUGCAGCUCAACUUGAAGGCAAUCGUUCUUUGAAUCAAUGAGGUGGUACUUCUCAUUGAUCCUUUUUUGUUAACAACAUCGGAAAGGCUUAUUUUAGAAGAAAAGGUUAACAUCGGAAAGGUUUAUUUUAGAAGAAAAGACCGUUGAUUUGAAUAGUGAAACAAAUUUGAGCCUGGGAAUCCCCGUUCCUUC